UACGUAGGGGGCUAGCGUUGUCCGGAUUUAUUGGGCGUAAAGAGCGUGUAGGCGGCCUGGUAGGUCAGCUGUGAAAACUCGAGGCUCAACCUCGAGACGCCGGUUGAAACCAUCAGGCUAGAGUCCGGAAGAGGAGAGUGGAAUUCCCGGUGUAGCGGUGAAAUGCGCAGAUAUCGGGAAGAACACCCGUGGCUAAGGCGGCUCUCUAGUACGGUACUGACGCUGAGACGCGAAAGCGUGGGGAGCGAACAGG
This 253-nucleotide ribosomal RNA is filed under the name uncultured bacterium. RNAcentral's name for it is "partial 16S ribosomal RNA". It matches the Rfam family "Bacterial small subunit ribosomal RNA", at positions 524 to 776 of the family's 1533-position model. The record is from RNAcentral.